Molecule: ribosomal RNA, 425 nt
Filed under: Debaryomyces hansenii
Lineage: Eukaryota; Fungi; Ascomycota; Pichiomycetes; Serinales; Debaryomycetaceae
Description: partial large subunit ribosomal RNA
Rfam family: Eukaryotic large subunit ribosomal RNA
Source: RNAcentral
CUUCGGUGUCCGAGUUGUAAUUUGAAGAAGGUAACUUUGGAGUUGGCUCUUGUCUAUGUUCCUUGGAACAGGACGUCACAGAGGGUGAGAAUCCCGUGCGAUGAGAUGCCCAAUUCUAUGUAAAGUGCUUUCGAAGAGUCGAGUUGUUUGGGAAUGCAGCUCUAAGUGGGUGGUAAAUUCCAUCUAAAGCUAAAUAUUGGCGAGAGACCGAUAGCGAACAAGUACAGUGAUGGAAAGAUGAAAAGAACUUUGAAAAGAGAGUGAAAAAGUACGUGAAAUUGUUGAAAGGGAAGGGCUUGAGAUCAGACUUGGUAUUUUGCGAUCCUUUCCUUCUUGGUUGGGUUCCUCGCAGCUUACUGGGCCAGCAUCGGUUUGGAUGGUAGGAUAAUGACUAAGGAAUGUGGCUCUACUUCGGUGGAGUGUUA